GCAAGUCGAACGAGAAAGCCCUUCGGGGUGAGUAGAGUGGCGCACGGGUGAGUAAUGCAUGGGAACGUACCUUUAGAUGGGGAAUAACCAGUGGAAACGCUGGCUAAUACCGCAUAGUCUAGCAAUAGUAAAAGUGGCCUCUACUUGUAAGCUACUGUCUAAAGAUCGGCCCAUGUCCCAUUAGCUUGUUUGUAGGGUAAUGGCCUACCAAGGCUACGAUGGGUAGCUGGUCUGAGAGGAUGAUC
RNAcentral lists this ribosomal RNA (245 nucleotides) under uncultured bacterium. Its description in RNAcentral is "partial 16S ribosomal RNA". It matches the Rfam family "Bacterial small subunit ribosomal RNA", at positions 57 to 305 of the family's 1533-position model. The record is from RNAcentral.